RNAcentral lists this ribosomal RNA (254 nucleotides) under uncultured bacterium. RNAcentral describes it as "partial 16S ribosomal RNA". It matches the Rfam family "Bacterial small subunit ribosomal RNA", at positions 524 to 776 of the family's 1533-position model. The record is from RNAcentral.
GACGAACCGUGCGAACGUUAUUCGGAAUCACUGGGCUUAAAGCGCGUGUAGGCGGGCCGGCACGUCGGUCGCUGAAAGCCCCCGGCUCAACUGGGGAGGGUCAUUCGAUACUGAUCGACUUGAAGGCAGGAGAGGGAAGUGGAAUUCCGGGUGUAGUGGUGAAAUGCGUAGAUAUCCGGAGGAACACCAGUGGCGAAGGCGACUUCCUGGCCUGUUCUUGACGCUGAGGCGCGAAAGCUGGGGGAGCAAACGGG